RNAcentral lists this ribosomal RNA (887 nucleotides) under uncultured bacterium. Its description in RNAcentral is "bacterial SSU rRNA". It matches the Rfam family "Bacterial small subunit ribosomal RNA", at positions 22 to 882 of the family's 1533-position model. The record is from RNAcentral.
GCUCAGAACGAACGCUGGCGGCGUGCCUACCACAUGCAAGUCGAGCGAGAAAAGGGGGGCAACUCCCUGAGUACAGCGGCGCACGGGUGAGUAACACGUAGGUAAUCUCCCCUCGAGCCCGGAAUAACCUACCGAAAGGUGGGCUAAUACCGGAUAUGACCACGGAAGUUUCGGCUUCUGCGGUGAAAGAUGGCCUCUAUUUAUAAGCUAUCACUCAAGGAUGAGCCUGCGUGCCAUUAGCUAGUUGGUGGGGUAAUGGCCCACCAAGGCUAUGAUGGCUAGCUGGUCUGAGAGGAUGGCCAGCCACACUGGGACUGAAACACGGCCCAGACUCCUACGGGAGGCAGCAGUGGGGGAUAUUGCGCAAUGGGCGAAAGCCUGACGCAGCGACGCCGCGUGGGUGAUGAAGGCCUUCGGGUCGUAAAGCCCUGUCGAGGGGGACGAAUCGGUUGCGACCUAACACGUCGUGAUCUUGACGGUACCCCUAAAGGAAGCACCGGCUAACUCCGUGCCAGCAGCCGCGGUAAUACGGAGGGUGCUAGCGUUGUUCGGAAUCACUGGGCGUAAAGCGCGUGUAGGCGGUCCGUUAAGUCUGAUGUGAAAGCCCGGGGCUCACCCCCGGAAGUGCAUUGGAAACUGACGAACUCGAGUCCCGGAGAGGAGGGUGGAAUUCCUGGUGUAGCGGUGAAAUGCGUAGAUAUCAGGAGGAACACCGGUGGCGAAGGCGGCCCUCUGGACGGUGACUGACGCUGAGACGCGAAAGCGUGGGGAGCAAACAGGAUUAGAUACCCUGGUAGUCCACGCCGUAAACGAUGAGCACUAGGUGUCGCGGGUAUUGACCCCUGCGGUGCCGACGCUAACGCAUUAAGUGCUCCGCCUGGGGGAUA